Molecule: unclassified non-coding RNA, 1060 nt
Filed under: Hevea brasiliensis (rubber tree)
Lineage: Eukaryota; Viridiplantae; Streptophyta; Magnoliopsida; Malpighiales; Euphorbiaceae
Source: RNAcentral
GAUUACACAAGUGUGACAAUAAUCGAGUCUAAAUUCACAAGACUUCAAAAAUAAAAAGAGAAAAAAAAAUUAAGCAUUUACUUUUUUUCUUUCUUGUUGACAUUUUCUUUUUAUUUGGAGCCAAUGGCAAAUGACAAUUUGGGACGUGAUUUGUUUUUACCCAACAGUUUCAUCUGAUUAACUCUCUGUUCCUCUUCUUCUUGUUUUUUCCUCUUAAUAGCUUCUUCUUUUUGCCUUUGUAGCUCUUCCAGUUCCCUAUAUCUCUCCUCCUCUCUCUUUUGUCUCUCUAAAGCCUCUCUUCUCUGAGCCUCUUCUACUCUCCUCCUGUUCUCCUCAACCAUUCUUUCUACCUCUUCUUUCUCUUUUCUAGCUUGUUCCUACAAUAACCAAACCAAACCAAACCCACAAAUGCACAUUUCUUAAACAUCUAUCCGUACUUGAACCAAACUGUUGACCCGUAGUACCGAUAAAUAUUAGUAGUACCUCUUUCUGUCUGGCCUCAACAAGGGCAGCUUCUUUUUCCUUCUCAAGUUGAGCAGUCACUUCUUCGUUAAGCCAUCUCCGACCCUCCUCCAACUUCUUGUCUAUUUCCAGUUUUAAAUCAUUGGAGUUCAGGCUCUGUUCAACUUCCUUGCGAAUUGCUUCUUCCACUCUCUUUGACGUUUCUUCUUUGAGAAAUUUGGCCUCUGUCUCCUGUUGUCGCCUGAGAAAAAAAUAAAAAUUUAAGAAAACAGCUAACCACGGAUAUAUAUGAAAAAUGCACCACCUGAAACGUCCUCCAAUUCAAACAACAAUUAAAAUGACAACUGACUUUAUCAUGAUGCCUCAGCCCAUUGUUUUUCCUCUUCCGGUUUAUAUAAGCAUAUAUAGUAAAUUAACAAACUAACCUCCAUGACGAUAAGAGCACUAAAACAUGCUUAUCCUUUUAGGGCAUACCUCUAACUCAAUCCUGAUCCAUACAAAAGAGUUACAAAACUGGUGAACAGCAUAUUAACGAAGCACCAAAUUGGUCAUCAAAUAUAACAAGUCUAUAGCAGUAUCUUCCUUCAGAAAAUCCUGU